Molecule: ribosomal RNA, 433 nt
Filed under: uncultured bacterium
Lineage: Bacteria
Description: partial 16S ribosomal RNA
Rfam family: Bacterial small subunit ribosomal RNA
Source: RNAcentral
AACGAACGCUGGCGGCAUGCCUAGCACAUGCAAGUCGAACGAGACCUUCGGGUCUAGUGGCGCACGGGUGCGUAACGCGUGGGAACCUGCCCUUAGGUUCGGAAUAACUCCCCGAAAGGGGUGCUAAUACCGGAUAAUGUCUUCGGACCAAAGAUUUAUCGCCUUUGGAUGGGCCCGCGUUGGAUUAGCUAGUUGGUAGGGUAAAAGCCUACCAAGGCGACGAUCCAUAGCUGGUCUGAGAGGAUGAUCAGCCACACUGGGACUGAGACACGGCCCAGACUCCUACGGGAGGCAGCAGUGGGGAAUAUUGGACAAUGGGCGAAAGCCUGAUCCAGCAAUGCCGCGUGAGUGAUGAAGGCCUUAGGGUUGUAAAGCUCUUUUACCCGGGAUGAUAAUGACAGUACCGGGAGAAUAAGCGCCGGCUAACUCCGUG